This 1343-nucleotide ribosomal RNA is filed under the name uncultured bacterium. RNAcentral's name for it is "16S ribosomal RNA". It matches the Rfam family "Bacterial small subunit ribosomal RNA", at positions 28 to 1378 of the family's 1533-position model. The record is from RNAcentral.
GACGAACGCUGGCGGCGUGCUUAACACAUGCAAGUCGAACGGAAAGGCCCUGCUUUUGUGGGGUGCUCGAGUGGCGAACGGGUGAGUAACACGUGAGUAACCUGCCCUUGACUUUGGGAUAACUUCAGGAAACUGGGGCUAAUACCGGAUAGGAGCUCCUGCUGCAUGGUGGGGGUUGGAAAGUUUCGGCGGUUGGGGAUGGACUCGCGGCUUAUCAGCUUGUUGGUGGGGUAGUGGCUUACUAAGGCUUUGACGGGUAGCCGGCCUGAGAGGGUGACCGGCCACAUUGGGACUGAGAUACGGCCCAGACUCCUACGGGAGGCAGCAGUGGGGAAUAUUGCACAAUGGGCGGAAGCCUGAUGCAGCAACGCCGCGUGCGGGAUGACGGCCUUCGGGUUGUAAACCGCUUUCGCCUGUGACGAAGCGUGAGUGACGGUAAUGGGUAAAGAAGCACCGGCUAACUACGUGCCAGCAGCCGCGGUGAUACGUAGGGUGCGAGCGUUGUCCGGAUUUAUUGGGCGUAAAGGGCUCGUAGGUGGUUGAUCGCGUCGGAAGUGUAAUCUUGGGGCUUAACCCUGAGCGUGCUUUCGAUACGGGUUGACUUGAGGAAGGUAGGGGAGAAUGGAAUUCCUGGUGGAGCGGUGGAAUGCGCAGAUAUCAGGAGGAACACCAGUGGCGAAGGCGGUUCUCUGGGCCUUUCCUGACGCUGAGGAGCGAAAGCGUGGGGAGCGAACAGGCUUAGAUACCCUGGUAGUCCACGCUGUAAACGGUGGGUACUAGGUGUGGGGUCCAUUCCACGGGUUCCGUGCCGUAGCUAACGCUUUAAGUACCCCGCCUGGGGAGUACGGCCGCAAGGCUAAAACUCAAAGGAAUUGACGGGGCCCCGCACAAGCGGCGGAGCAUGCGGAUUAAUUCGAUGCAACGCGUAGAACCUUACCUGGGUUUGACAUGGAUCGGGAGUGCUCAGAGAUGGGUGUGCCUCUUUUGGGGUCGGUUCACAGGUGGUGCAUGGCUGUCGUCAGCUCGUGUCGUGAGAUGUUGGGUUAAGUCCCGCAACGAGCGCAACCCUUGUUCACUGUUGCCAGCACGUUAUGGUGGGGACUCAGUGGAGACCGCCGGGGUCAACUCGGAGGAAGGUGGGGAUGACGUCAAGUCAUCAUGCCCCUUAUGUCCAGGGCUUCACGCAUGCUACAAUGGCUGGUACAGAGAGUGGCGAGCCUGUGAGGGUGAGCGAAUCUCGGAAAGCCGGUCUCAGUUCGGAUUGGGGUCCGCAACUCGACCUCAUGAAGUCGGAGUCGCUAGUAAUCGCAGAUCAGCAACGCUGCGGUGAAUACGUUCCCGGG